Molecule: ribosomal RNA, 253 nt
Filed under: uncultured bacterium
Lineage: Bacteria
Description: partial 16S ribosomal RNA
Rfam family: Bacterial small subunit ribosomal RNA
Source: RNAcentral
UACGGGGGGGGCAAGCGUUGUUCGGAAUUACUGGGCGUAAAGGGCUCGUAGGUGGCCAACUAAGUCAGACGUGAAAUCCCUCGGCUUAACCGGGGAACUGCGCAUGAUACUGGAUGGCUUGAGUUUGGGAGAGGGAUGCGGAAUUCCAGGUGUAGCGGUGAAAUGCGUAGAUAUCUGGAGGAACACCGGUGGCGAAGGCGGGUCUCUGGGCCGUAACUGACGCUGAGGAGCGAAAGCGUGGGGAGCGAACAGG